GACGAACGCUGGCGGCGUGCUUAACACAUGCAAGUCGAACGGAGCGAAUGAAAGCUUGCUUUUAUGAGCUUAGUGGCAAACGGGUGAGUAACACGUAGACAACCUGCCGACAGGAUGGGGACAACAUUCCGAAAGGAAUGCUAAUACCGAAUGAAGCGGAGGAGAGGCAUCUCUCCUCCGUGAAAGAUGGCCUCUGAACAUGCUAUCACCUGUCGAUGGGUCUGCGUCUGAUUAGCUAGUUGGUGAGGUAACGGCUCACCAAGGCGACGAUCAGUAGCCGGUCUGAGAGGAUGAACGGCCACAUUGGGACUGAGACACGGUCCAGACUCCUACGGGAGGCAGCAGUGGGGAAUCUUCCGCAAUGGGCGCAAGCCUGACGGAGCAACGCCGCGUGAGUGAAGAAGGUCUUCGGAUCGUAAAGCUCUGUUGACGGGGACGAACGUACGGAGUGCGAAU
RNAcentral lists this ribosomal RNA (456 nucleotides) under Selenomonas sp. oral taxon 138. RNAcentral's name for it is "bacterial SSU rRNA". It matches the Rfam family "Bacterial small subunit ribosomal RNA", at positions 28 to 465 of the family's 1533-position model. The record is from RNAcentral. Lineage: Bacteria; Bacillati; Bacillota; Negativicutes; Selenomonadales; Selenomonadaceae.